CCGUGAUUUAUUACUUGCCCUGCUGCUUCUGACAAACUAUUUGUAGGAAAAUGAGAUUUGGUCCGCGCUGGAUGGCUCCUCUGGGAGGCAGGCGUGGGGGUCGGGUGUCGGAGGCCCCGUGCGCCCCCCCACCCCCCACCAGAGCCCACGGCGCUCACGGAGCUCUUUAAGAUAAAUGAGCAAAAUUAAGAGACUCACUGGGGGAAGAAAACACUGGAUGGGAGCGAGCGAGAGCGGAUGGUACUUGGUUUCCUCCCAGAAAUGCAUCCACGUGCGCCCCACUGGGGCCUCCCCCAUCUGCUGCAGACUCCAGGGAACUUCCUCCCCUCAAAGACGAACUUCCAGCCCUGGAGCAUGUUUCUUCCUUUCCUGGGAUGUGGCGCUGAAAAGGGCAGAAACCUCUAGUAAGGCACAAGCAACAGAUUGGGGGUGGAGCAGCAGGUCUCUUUGGAGGUGGCCUGGAAGAAACCGGACAGAGAGGAUGGGAAGGGGAGAAACAGAAGAGUGUGACGAGAUCAUGAAGGAAAGAGGAGGCGUCUACUGAAUGUAAGGUAGAGCCAAAGGCAUCUAUUGAUGACUGAAGAAGAGGCAUGAAUAUGACAAAAACAGGAAGAAGCCCACAAUGAUGAUGAAAUUAGAAAGGAAGACAAGAACAACAAGGUUGUGGAAUUCAGAAGCCAUAUAGACAAGAGCUGGGAAAACGGCAAUGGAUUAAUAACAAGAAAUUAAUGGUGAAGUGGUGACGAAAAUUCUACAUUGCUUAGAAAGCAAAUAGUGAAAUGAACAUUUACAUUCUGGCAACCUCAGAAGUACAACGAACAGAGGACACCAGCCAGGUAGGGCAAAGGCCUGUGCGCCCCCUUUUGCUGUUACAUGUUUAUCAGAUGCGUGCUCUGUUUCUGUUGUAUUACAUUACUUUUCUCUUCAAUGUCUACUGAGGAAGAACAAGUAGCUCCUCAGGCAAGUCAACUGUUAACUCUGCAGUUUUUAUUUAAUCUCCCAGGAAUGUAACCCUUAACUUUAAAGAAUGUAGUGACCAUAAAACUUAUAAGGCAUGUUUCUUAAGGAAAUUGUACCUGUUUAUUUAAUCUAUCAGAUAUGAAUGUUAUAGAAAAUUAAAUUUGUCCACUUAAGCUGUAGAUGAACUUUUCACCUUUCUGAUCAGAAAUUCACCAUUUUAUAGUAUAGGUUCUGUUAUUAAUCAGAAUAUUUCAUUUAGACUCUUUCUAUCCAACUUUUUCUUAGAGGCUAUUCAAAAUAAAGGUGCUUCUAACAGUUUCAUAUCGAAAUACGAUGCAAAGCCUUGCUCUUCCAUGGUAUCCUUUGAGUGAGCCAAACUUAUUUAGCCAUUCCCCUAUAGUUAAAUAGCUAGGAUGUUUCCAACAUCUCACCUUUAAAACAAUAGUGCUAUGAAUGUCAUAAAUGUUUGUAUAUGUAAAUAUGUAGGAUAAAUCCCUAUCAGUAGAAUUUCAAAAGGUAUACGCAAUCAGUAUUUUCAUACAUAUUUAAAAUUUUCCAUCCAUACAAAGGUUGCUAACAUAUUUAUUUAAAAUUUUAAAAAUAAUUUUAUAUGCCUCUUGUAACCAGUAAUAGGAUGCAAAGUUUUUGUUUUAAGGUAACAUUGCUCCUCUUCCCCCAUUGUCUCUGUCAUCUAUAGUACUCCCUAAGGUAGUUCAUGUUAUUGCAAGGGUGUGUAUCAUCCCAAACAUAUUGCUUCCACAUACAUAUAUCAGCAUACAUAUAUAUAUAUGUAUAGCAUAUAUAUAUAUGAGCACAUAUUAAUAUAUGCCCAUGCACAUACAAGCAUGUUUUUGUUAAUUUUUACUGAAAUGGAAUCAUGCUACAUACUUAUGAACAAAUUGCUUCUUUCACCUUAUAUCACUUAUAAUUGUUAUUCUACAAAUCAGUACAUAUAAAAAAUACAUAUUUACAUAUGUAAUACUCUAUCUGUUAUAAUUUUCUGCAUGCACAUGUAUGCAUAUACAUAUAUUCAUAAACAUAAAAAUCUAAACGGGAUUUUUUUG
Molecule: long non-coding RNA, 2024 nt
Filed under: Homo sapiens (human)
Lineage: Eukaryota; Metazoa; Chordata; Mammalia; Primates; Hominidae
Description: HSALNT0305201
Source: RNAcentral